RNAcentral lists this transfer RNA (65 nucleotides) under Boops boops. RNAcentral's name for it is "tRNA-Cys". The record is from RNAcentral. Lineage: Eukaryota; Metazoa; Chordata; Actinopteri; Spariformes; Sparidae.
AGUCUUGAGGUGUUAACAUGUUGGAUUGCAAAUCCGAAGUAGGAGGGUAACACCUCCCUAGACUU